RNAcentral lists this small RNA (57 nucleotides) under Cyanobium usitatum str. Tous. Its description in RNAcentral is "Cyanobacterial functional RNA 1". It matches the Rfam family "Cyanobacterial functional RNA 1". Lineage: Bacteria; Bacillati; Cyanobacteriota; Cyanophyceae; Synechococcales; Prochlorococcaceae. The record is from Rfam by way of RNAcentral.
GUGCGAGCUUCGGCUCUCACACUCCUCACACCCUCCAGCCCGGCGCGUCCGGGCCUU